UUUAGAGUUUGANNUNCCCGCUCAGGACGAACGCUGGCGGCAUGCCUAAUACAUGCAAGUCGAGCGAACAGAUGAAGUGCUUGCACUUCUGACGUUAGCGGCGAACGGGUGAGUAACACGUAAGGAAUCUACCUAUAAGCGGGGGAUAACAUUCGGAAACGGGUGCUAAUACCGCAUAAUAUCUUCUUCCGCAUGGAAGAAGAUUGAAAGACGGCUCUGCUGUCACUUAUAGAUGACCUUGCGGUGCAUUAGUUAGUUGGUGGGGUAAUGGCCUACCAAGACGAUGAUGCAUAGCCGACCUGAGAGGGUGAUCGGCCACAUUGGGACUGAGACACGGCCCAAACUCCUACGGGAGGCAGCAGUAGGGAAUCUUCCGCAAUGGGCGAAAGCCUGACGGAGCAAUGCCGCGUGAGUGAAGAAGGCCUUCGGGUCGUAAAACUCUGUUAUAAGAGAAGAACAAAUUGUAGAGUAACUGCUACAGUCUUGACGGUAUCUUAUCAGAAAGCCACGGCUAACUACGUGCCAGCAGCCGCGGUAAUACGUAGGUGGCAAGCGUUGUCCGGAUUUAUUGGGCGUAAAGGGAGCGCAGGUGGUUUCUUAAGUCUGAUGUGAAAGCCCACGGCUUAACCGUGGAGGGUCAUUGGAAACUGGGAAACUUGAGUACAGAAGAGGAA
Molecule: ribosomal RNA, 674 nt
Filed under: Aerococcus urinaeequi
Lineage: Bacteria; Bacillati; Bacillota; Bacilli; Lactobacillales; Aerococcaceae
Description: bacterial SSU rRNA
Rfam family: Bacterial small subunit ribosomal RNA
Source: RNAcentral